GGUAACAGAAAGUAGCUUGCUACUUUGCUGACGAGCGGCGGACGGGUGAGUAAUGCCUAGGGAACUGCCCAGUCGAGGGGGAUAACAGUUGGAAACGACUGCUAAUACCGCAUACGCCCUACGGGGGAAAAGAGGGGAUCUUCGGACCUUCUGCGAUUGGAUGUACCUAGGUGGGAUUAGCUAGUAGGUGAGGUAAUGGCUCACCUAGGCGACGAUCCCUAGCUGUUCUGAGAGGAUGAUCAGCCACACUGGGACUGAGACACGGCCCAGACUCCUACGGGAGGCAGCAGUGGGGAAUAUUGCACAAUGGGCGCAAGCCUGAUGCAGCCAUGCCGCGUGUGUGAAGAAGGCCUUCGGGUUGUAAAGCACUUUCAGCGAGGAGGAAAGGUUAACGGUUAAUACCCGUUAGCUGUGACGUUACUCGCAGAAGAAGCACCGGCUAACUUCGUGCCAGCAGCCGCGGUAAUACGAGGGGUGCAAGCGUUAAUCGGAAUUACUGGGCGUAAAGCGUACGCAGGCGGUUGAUUAAGCGAGAUGUGAAAGCCCCGGGCUUAACCUGGGAACUGCAUUUCGAACUGGUCAACUAGAGUCUUGUAGAGGGGGGUAGAAUUUCAGGUGUAGCGGUGAAAUGCGUAGAGAUCUGAAGGAAUACCGGUGGCGAAGGCGGCCCCCUGGACAAAGACUGACGCUCAGGU
This 695-nucleotide ribosomal RNA is filed under the name bacterium PK34. RNAcentral describes it as "bacterial SSU rRNA". It matches the Rfam family "Bacterial small subunit ribosomal RNA", at positions 68 to 752 of the family's 1533-position model. The record is from RNAcentral.